AUGGCAAUGACUGCUUUGGUAGCUAAAACUGGAGCGACAGAGAGAAGAUUAACAUGGGCUCCGCACGAGGAUGACAUGCAAAUUUGUGAAGUGUUCCAUAUUUUU
This is a small nuclear RNA of Artibeus jamaicensis (Jamaican fruit-eating bat), 105 nucleotides long. The record is from RefSeq and is a predicted model, not a curated record. Lineage: Eukaryota; Metazoa; Chordata; Mammalia; Chiroptera; Phyllostomidae.